AAUACUUCCGUUCUAGGGUGGGAAUUUUUUCCCCUCACGAUUGCUUCCUUAUCCAUGACCCAUUCAGAUGAUUGAGCCAAGGUACUCCAAGGAAUAUUUGGACCUGCUAAUCUGAUGGUACUUAAUCUUUUAAAAGAACUACAAGUAUUCUCGAUCAUCAGAGAGAAAUUGACACCAAGGAGCUGCGUGAGAGUUUCAUAGUGAACCACGGGACCAAGAAGUCUAACGAUCCUAUCACACAGACCCUGUUAUCCAUUGUCUUUUUACUAGCUGCCUCAUGAGUUAUUUGCAGGGUCUGGAAGUGCCUUCUUUAAGGAAGCAACAAGAUUUUAACUAUCGUGUGUUAAAAAUUAAGGAAUUUGUCUAAUGAGACACUGUCAACAGAAUUGGUUCUAUGUUGGCCCUGAACCACACAAAAUCAGGUAAAAUUUGUUUGUAUCUCAGUAUUUUUAGGUAUUUGAUGUCUAAGUG
RNAcentral lists this long non-coding RNA (471 nucleotides) under Felis catus (domestic cat). Its description in RNAcentral is "lncRNA (ENSFCAG00000047528.1)". The record is from RNAcentral. Lineage: Eukaryota; Metazoa; Chordata; Mammalia; Carnivora; Felidae.